AAGUUUUAGCGAGAUUUCCCAGCGAAGGUAUAUGAAUGAACACCGGAGCACCGAGUUUAACCGCUCCGGUGUGACUGAAUAAUGCGCUUUUUCGUGGGUUUUCAUUCAAAGUGCCUCUGUGAACACGUUGGUUUUUAUAAAUAUAUUUUUUAAAAAAACAAACUAAACAACAGAAAACAGAUCGUAUCUCAUCAUCGAUCUUGACGCUGAGCUGCUUCCAGGAGUGUCUCAUUGCAGGACACGCAGAACAAAAGGCUGUGACUUGGCAUGACCGAUGAGAACUCCCCUUUGUAUCGUCUCUCGGUUGAAUAUACGAGCCUGCGGAUGAUCAGUUUAACGCUGCUGGACUGUGGAUUUUCUUUUUGAAGGACUCGUGUCAGAUUUUCGUCACCAGGGACGUACCGCCGCGCCUUUGUGCUGCAGCCAAUUCAACUUUAAAGGGAACUUAG
This is a long non-coding RNA of Acanthopagrus latus (yellowfin seabream), 449 nucleotides long. RefSeq lists it as uncharacterized. Lineage: Eukaryota; Metazoa; Chordata; Actinopteri; Spariformes; Sparidae. The transcript has 3 exons. The record is from RefSeq and is a predicted model, not a curated record.